Molecule: ribosomal RNA, 467 nt
Filed under: uncultured bacterium
Lineage: Bacteria
Description: partial 16S ribosomal RNA
Rfam family: Bacterial small subunit ribosomal RNA
Source: RNAcentral
GAUGAACGCUGGCGGCGUGCUUAACACAUGCAAGUCGAACGGAAAGGCCCAAGUUUGCUUGGGUCCUCGAGUGGCGAACGGGUGAGUAACACGUGGGUGAUCUGCCCUGCACUUCGGGAUAAGCCUGGGAAACUGGGUCUAAUACCGGAUAGGACGUUGGUUUGGAUGCCUUGGUGGAAAGUUUUUUCGGUGUGGGAUGAGCUCGCGGCCUAUCAGCUUGUUGUGGGGGUAUUGGCCUACCAAGGCGUCGACGGGUAGCCGGCCUGAGAGGGUGUACGGCCACAUUGGGACUGAGAUACGGCCCAGACUCCUACGGGAGGCAGCAGUGGGGAAUAUUGCACAAUGGGCGCAAGCCUGAUGCAGCGACGCCGCGUGGGGGAUGACGGCCUUCGGGUUGUAAACUCCUUUCGCUAGGGACGAAGCGUUUUGUGACGGUACCUGGAGAAGAAGCACCGGCUAACUACGUG